RNAcentral lists this long non-coding RNA (1085 nucleotides) under Numida meleagris (helmeted guineafowl). RNAcentral describes it as "lncRNA (ENSNMEG00000007980.1)". Lineage: Eukaryota; Metazoa; Chordata; Aves; Galliformes; Numididae. The record is from RNAcentral.
UCCAACACUUGCUCUGGUUAUUAUAAGUUUUGAGCUGUAAAUGACUGCAUUCAGCAGCAAACCCGUCAGGUUGGGGAGUUUUUCAUUAAAUGUUUGAUCUAGAAAUUUUUAAUCAGUGCACAAAUAAAACAAAUUACUAAAGCACUACAUCAGCUACGGUGUACGUAAUUGGGAUGAAUGGGUGAUGUAACCAGUGGGGAACAGCGCGGGCAUUCUUAGCAGAAGGCCUGGGGCUGCAGAACUUGUUACCACUAGAGAUGGAGGAGCCUGUGUCCUAACCUGUAUCUUGAACAUGCAGCUCCUCCUGAGAUCUGUGUUCCCUUUCCCUGCUGAGGACAGAGGAACGUCGUGCAGGACAGUUGGGACCAUCAGAUGGAGAGACGUGCUGCAAGUGAAGAAAUGCAGAUGUGACAUGCUCGACAUCCCACACGGCUGUUUCACAUCCCUGUGAGGUAUCACACUUCCUUUCCUCUCCAGGCCGCUGGAGAAAUGACAAUGUUGAACAGGAACACUGCUUUCUGUUUGAAUUGCAGCUAAUAGAAGUUUUUUUUUAAUGCGGAAUACUCCCCAACUUCUGGUGAAUUCUAAUUAUUCUCCAAUUUCUGCCUCAGCUGUAAGACUAAUCUGGUACUUCCUAGUGAGCCCCUGAAACCAUAGCGAGUACUUGGUUCCCUUUGCUCAUAUCCCUUUCAGUAUGUUACUAAAAUAAGUAGGGAUGGGAUCCGAACAGAGAUGUAAUGAGUAAGGAACCAAGUGUUGCAUGAAAAAUACCAGAUUUACAUUUGUUCAGGAUAUUACUAGGAUUACUAUACAUUAAAUGGCAUAAUUAGUAUCCCCUUUUAAAAUGCAUUUUACUAUGGCCAUGGAUUAAAGAAUAUGUUAAGAUCCAGAAAUCAAUUCUCCUUAUCAUUUAUUUCCAAGGCUCUGUUUCUGUGAGUAGUAUAGAUCUUUACUAAAAGAGAAAAGAGCUCUGAAUUACAAUUUUUUUUUUAACUUUUUGUAGAUAGUUUUACACGUCAAGUGUGGAGAUCUGAAGUGUUGAGCAGAGUGUAAGGAGGUGAAUAAAUUACUGUUCGAUUAGGCCA